This 230-nucleotide long non-coding RNA is filed under the name Nicotiana benthamiana. Its description in RNAcentral is "long non-coding RNA (NBEN_LNC034320)". Lineage: Eukaryota; Viridiplantae; Streptophyta; Magnoliopsida; Solanales; Solanaceae. The record is from RNAcentral.
GGAUCUUAAUAACUUAGAACCAGAUAUUUUUAUUUUAUUUUUUGUAUAGUUUUCUUGGUUCAGCAGGUGCAUGUGUGCGUGUGUUGUGGUAAGAUUUAGGUGGUGAGGUGAGGCUGGCGAGAUGACGGUAGAGAGAUGGUUGUUUAUGGCUUCUCAACAGCGGGUCUGAUGGCGGUGUAAGGAUUCCGGCAAGCUGUUGCUGCUAGUUUUUUUAUUGAAGAAGAAGAAAG